CCGAAUUGGAGAGAAAAUAAAAGGGGUUUAAAGCUUGUUUCAUUCGGCACUUUCAAGCUUUGAUUAAGGUAGGGAUUUUGUUCGGUUUUUGAUGAUUUUUAUGUUUUUGAGAUCGUUGCUUCGAUUACUAUUUGACCCAUGCUUGAAUUUUUGAUUUUGAUGAAUAUUUUGAGCUAUGCCAUUGAUGAAUGCUUGAGUUUUAUGAUGUUAGUAGGUGAAAUAUGAAAUAUAUUUGUUAGAUUAAUAUAUUUUGUAUUGGAAUUUUUAGUGAAAUUGAGUAAAUAGGGCUAAAUUGUGAAAUUAAAUUUUU
Molecule: long non-coding RNA, 310 nt
Filed under: Gossypium barbadense (sea-island cotton)
Lineage: Eukaryota; Viridiplantae; Streptophyta; Magnoliopsida; Malvales; Malvaceae
Description: long non-coding RNA (GBAR_LNC013300)
Source: RNAcentral